GUGAAGUAGACAAAGAGGCCCGUGGUGGAGGCGAUUUGCAGGGCCAGGAUGCCCAUCGCGGCCACGGCCAGCCAGACCGGGCUGCAGCGCUUCUUCCGACGGCGCUUCUCGGCCCGUCGCUCGUCGCCCAGCAUGUGGGCGGCGGAGUCGCUGCUGUCUGAUCGGAAGUACGGCUGGCUGGGGGCUGGUUCGGCCAUCCUGGCGGCAUCCAGAGCGACCGAGAGCCGCUCCGCUUCUCCUCUGGCAGCAGCCUCUCCUCUCCAGGGAUAGGAGGAGAUUCCGACUGUGAUUCGGACCCGCCCCCGUGGGCUGGCCAGACGAGGUUCAAACCCACCAGCCCGCCGGAUAAACAAAGAAGGCAGCCCAGCCACGUGGAGGAGGAGGAGGAGGAGGCGUUGCUCAGCCUAUUUACCCUCCCCCAGAAAGACUGAUCCCAGGGAGCAGACUCUCUUCGGGAUCGCUGCCUUCUGUCCACGAUUCUCUGCCAAGAGAAAGGACCAUUUGCUCCCCCGUCAAGUCACAGCCGACUUAUGGCGGCCCGUAGGGGUUUCAAGCAGGCGAUUUCUCUACAUCUGCAAGCAGUUUCCUGGAGUGGCCCAUGGCAAAUCUGUGACUCAUGGCCAGGACAACCUCUUUGAACAGGAGGUUUGGCAAAAGAGAAAGGUGACACAUGGAACUCAGUACAGAUAGAAUACAGCCGAAAAUCUUCCAUGGCCCUCCAUCACAUGGAAAAAUCAUUAAAGACAUUCACAAACAGCAAAUGAGGAAAAGGGUGGAGUGUCUGCAGAUUGGGUCAGUCUCAGGAUGGUAAAGAGUUAAUGACAGUUGUUUUAGUGAACAUGAAAAAUGAAGGGAAUCCAAAGAAUACUGCCUGAUUGAGGCCAUUCAAUGUAAACAUUUGUUAGAUCAUCAAAACAAGGUCUUUCAAUAUGCAAGGUUGCCAAGAAAUUGAAAAAACAAGACUGAAGGAAAGACACAGUAAAGAUAAAGACGGAGCCUUUCUGAAAGCAUUUGAAACAGCUGUGCAUAAAAUCAUGUCAAAUCUCCUAUCCACGUCUUGUGGGUUGCAAAUAUCACUCCCAGCUGGUAUUUGCAAAGUGGGCACUUUUUUUUGUUUCCUGGAAAAGAUUGCAAAUCUUGCUCUGACUUUCACUCAAAAUGCAGUCAUAAGAUCAGAAUACAAGGAUAGCCAUACCUCAUCAGACCUGUGGUCCAUCUAGCCCAGGAUCCAGUUUCCAAUAGUGGCCACAGGGAUGCCCACAAGGGCUCACAGACAACAGGCUUCACCUACGGACUGCCCUCAGUAUCCGAUAAUCAGAGGC
This is a long non-coding RNA of Sphaerodactylus townsendi, 1322 nucleotides long. RefSeq lists it as uncharacterized. The transcript is spliced from 3 exons. NCBI's taxonomy places the organism in Eukaryota, Metazoa, Chordata, Lepidosauria, Squamata, Sphaerodactylidae. The record is from RefSeq and is a predicted model, not a curated record.